This is a long non-coding RNA of Triplophysa rosa, 228 nucleotides long. RefSeq lists it as uncharacterized. NCBI's taxonomy places the organism in Eukaryota, Metazoa, Chordata, Actinopteri, Cypriniformes, Nemacheilidae. The transcript has 3 exons. The record is from RefSeq and is a predicted model, not a curated record.
CACAACAACUCCAGCUGUGGAUCCACCAUCACAUUGAGUGUCCAAAUCCACAAGACAACACAGUGGAGCUUCUGCAGAAUGGUGUCUCAACAUCCAGCCGUUUCUCCUUCAGGAUGUUUAUCUUCAGCUCAAACACCACUAAAGUUUACCUGCACUGUUCUGUUCAUCUGUGUCUUCUGACCAACAACUACUGCACAACUGUUUAUUCAGUUAUAAUUUUGCUAUCCC